Molecule: long non-coding RNA, 1182 nt
Organism: Raphanus sativus (radish)
Lineage: Eukaryota; Viridiplantae; Streptophyta; Magnoliopsida; Brassicales; Brassicaceae
Exons: 4
Source: RefSeq, a predicted model, not a curated record
CACAUGGGAUGCCAGGUCAUAAACUCAAGUGAUGUCCAACCGACACCUGUCCCAUUAAAUGAAACGCCGCGUAUCAAGCUUUUGUAUAUCGUGUGGGUUUAAUUUUGGUCUGCGCAUACGCUCCGUUUACGGGCUUAAUGACGUUCAUUUGCUAAGGCCCUGGAAAAGAGAAUUGUUGGUGACCUAAUGUCUUAUUCGUACAUCCGAGUACAGCGGCGAUAACGACGAACGAUCGUGGUCGGUUUCCCUGUAACGCUUCGCGACUUAACUCACAUUAAGAGACUUUCAAUGCGUCGUUCCGUCUGCGAGAUCUGUAAUCUCCGUAUAUAUAGGUUGAGUGAUAUGUUUUGUGGUUCACGGCAGGAUAGAGUGAUAUACAGAAAAAGGAAAAUGGAAAGGGAAGCCAUACCAGAGCAUUUGAUCAAACUCCUCCCUGUCGCACAGCCUGCCGCAUUUGAUCUGGUGGGUUAUGUCAUCUACGACAUUGGAAGGGAAGCCAUACCAGAGAAGAGUCUUCUACAAUGGAACCAUUGAGGUAGUUGAAUCUGAUGGCUUCUCAGUGGUGUGUCUGUCUUUCUUUUAACACUUGGGGUUGCUCUCCUCCUCCUUCUCGGUCUAUGGGCAUACAGCCAAGUACAGAGUCUCACUAAGAACACCAAAAAGGUAUCGAAGGUGGACGUAGGAACAAGGUCUACGGACGCAUCACUUGACGAGUGACUCGAGGGACAUUUGGCAAAGAUAUUGCAAGAAAACCGAAGAGAAGAAGUGAGAAAAAAUAGAACCUUUUCUAUUUAUGAAGGUUCUGCUUCAGUCAGAGUAAUAAUGCUCAGAGUAAAUAAGUGGCUGCUUCAGCCCAAUUUCUCAGUAUUAUGUUUUAUUCUAUGUUAUGUCCUCUGUUUUUUUUCUCUGUCAUAUGUGUAUGUGUUCUUGAAAGAUCCUUGCAGAAUCAAAAACUAUCUAUCUAAUCUUCAAGGUAAUAAAAAAAGAUUAGUUACUUAUUUAAUACAGAGGUUGCAAUGUCUUAACUACAAAGUUAUACUGAGAAUAUUAUACAUCAAAAGACUUUUAGUUCAAGGAUGAUCAGUAUUUUGCAAGUUUUUACUUUCUACCUUAGUUUCUCAGUAAAGAGUCUUGCCUAAGACUUUGAACGUUCUUAUCCUUAAAAGUCUCUAUGCUUUGUGC